CCCUUAGAUGUUCUGGGCCGCACACGCGCUACACUGAAGGAGGCAGCGUGUACUCCUGGAUCGAAAGAUUUGGGUAACCCGCGAAUCUCCUUCGUGCUAGGGAUUGAGGUUUGCAAUUAUCCUUCAUGAACGAGGAAUUCCCAGUAAGUGCAAGUCAUAAGCUUGCGCUGACUACGUCCCUGCCCUUUGUACACACCGCCCGUCGCUACUACCGAUUGAAUGAUUUAGUGAGGACUUCGGACUGGGACCGAUGCGGCUUUCGGGCUGCGUCGGUAUUCUGGAAAGAUGUCCAAACUGUAUCAUUUGGAGGAAGUAAAAGUCGUAACA
RNAcentral lists this ribosomal RNA (327 nucleotides) under uncultured eukaryote. RNAcentral's name for it is "partial 18S ribosomal RNA". It matches the Rfam family "Eukaryotic small subunit ribosomal RNA", at positions 1470 to 1796 of the family's 1831-position model. The record is from RNAcentral.